Molecule: ribosomal RNA, 1243 nt
Filed under: metagenome
Description: bacterial LSU rRNA
Rfam family: Bacterial large subunit ribosomal RNA
Source: RNAcentral
UGAAUACGAGAUGCUACGGCGUCGAAGCAGUCUAUGUCAUACUUCCAAGAAAAGCUUGCACUGUCAUAAACAAAUAAUGCCUGUACCAUAACCGACACAGGUGGGUAGGUAGAGUAUACUAAGGGGCGCGAGAUAACUCUCUCUAAGGAACUCGGCAAAAUGACUCCGUAACUUCGGGAGAAGGAGUGCCUUAUUUUAUAAGGUUGCAAUAACAAGAUCCAAGCAACUGUUUACCAAAAACACAGGUCUCCGCUAAGUCGUAAGACGAUGUAUGGGGGCUGACGCCUGCCCAGUGCCAGAAGGUUAAAGAAGUUGGUUAGCAUCCGCGAAGCUGAUAACUGAAGCCCUGGUGAACGGCGGCCGUAACAAUAACGGUCCUAAGGUAGCGAAAUUCCUUGUCGGGUAAGUUCCGACCCGCACGAAAGGCGUAAUGAUUUGGAUACUGUCUCAGAGAGGGGCUCGGUGAAAUAGACUUGUCUGUGAAGAUGCGGACUACCUGCACCAGGACAGAAAGACCCUAUGAAGCUUUACUGUAACUUGAAAUUGAAAUUGGACUUUACUUGCGCAGUAUAGGUGGGAGGCGUUGAGAAUAUUCUUGCGGGAAUGUUGGAGCCAUCAGUGAGAUACCACUCUUGUAAUGUUAGAUUUCUAACUUUGUAUCAUUAUCUGGUCAAAGGACAGUUUCAGGCGGGCAGUUUGACUGGGGCGGUCGCCUCCCAAACGGUAACGGAGGCGCACAAAGGUUUCCUCUGAACGGGUAGAAAUCGUAUCUAGAGUGUAAAGGCAUAAGGAAGCUUGACUGUGAGACCUACAAGUCGAGCAGGGACGAAAGUCGGUCUUAGUGAUCUGACGGUGCUGAGUGGAAAGGCCGUCACUCAACGGAUAAAAGUUACUCUAAGGAUAACAGGCUGAUCUCCCCCAAGAGUUCACAUCGACGGGGAGGUUUGGCACCUCGAUGUCGGCUCAUCGCAUCCUGGGGCGGUAGUACGUCCCAAGGGUUGGGCUGUUCGCCCAUGAAAGCGGUACGCGAGCUGGGUUCAGAACGUCGUGAGACAGUUCGGUCCAUAUCCGAUGUAGGCGUUAGAAUAUUGAGAGGAGCCUUCUUUAGUACGAGAGGACCGAGAAGGACAUACCUCUGGUGUACCAGUUAUCGUGCCAACGGUAAACGCUGGGUAGCUAUGUAUGGAGUGGAUAACCGCUGAAAGCAUCUAAGUGGGAAGCCCACCUCAAGAUAAGUAUUCUC